Molecule: ribosomal RNA, 282 nt
Filed under: uncultured bacterium
Lineage: Bacteria
Description: partial 16S ribosomal RNA
Rfam family: Bacterial small subunit ribosomal RNA
Source: RNAcentral
UACGGAGGGAGCUAGCGUUGUUCGGAAUUACUGGGCGUAAAGCGCGCGUAGGCGGCUUUGUAAGUUAGAGGUGAAAGCCCCGGGGGCUCAACCCCGGAAUUGCCUUUAAGACUGCAUCGCUUGAAUCCGGGAGAGGUGAGUGGAAUUCCGAGUGUAGAGGUGAAAUUCGUAGAUAUUCGGAAGAACACCAGUGGCGAAGGCGGCUCACUGGACCGGCAUUGACGCUGAGGUGCGAAAGCGUGGGAGGCAAGCAACGAUGAUAACGAACCGAGUCAGACCAGA